UAUUGGACAAUGGGGGCAACCCUGAUCCAGCCAUGCCGCGUGAGUGAUGAAGGCCUUCGGGUUGCAAAGCUCUUUUGGCGGGGACGAUGAUGACGGUACCCGCAGAAUAAGCCCCGGCUAACUUCGUGCCAGCAGCCGCGGUAAGACGAAGGGGGCUAGCGUCGUUCGGAAUUACUGGGCGUAAAGCGCGUGUAGGCGGUUUGCCAAGUUGGGUGUGAAAGCCUUGGGCUUAACCCAAGAAAUGCACUCAGUACUGGCAGACUAGAGGACCGGAGAGGAUAGUGGAAUUCCCAGUGUAGUGGUGAAAUACAUAGAGAUUGGGAAGAACACCAGUGGCGAAGGCGGCUAUCUGGACGGUUCUGACGCUAAGACGCGGA
Molecule: ribosomal RNA, 377 nt
Filed under: uncultured bacterium
Lineage: Bacteria
Description: bacterial SSU rRNA
Rfam family: Bacterial small subunit ribosomal RNA
Source: RNAcentral